UCUGCUCUAAUUUUCUUCAUUUAGAUGUUUGUUUCGUUUUUAUGUUUACUUGAGACACGUUACUUUAACACCUGCAUUUCCCUACCUGUGCUCCUCAAAAGCUAACUUUUAAUUUUAUUUUUCCAUUUCUUCAUUCAGAAAAGCGAACACGUGUUUCAGAAAUCCUUCUUCAAUGUUCUACUGCUGAAAAUGAUCAUUUAUAGCAAUAAAUCGUCUUUUUACAGCUGUGACUCGAACAAUUUGUUGCCUAUAGCAACGUGGCUGUAGUUUAACAGUUCAGCUGCGUCAGUCAGGUGGCGCAGACUGUGAUCCACCUCCAAACCCUGACCCGUUUCAGAUGAUCCGGUUUGAAGCCAGUCUGGCAGAGUGAAGAACAUGAACGAAAACCAAGAAGGUGAAAGUCAUGGCUGGAGGAACUCAACAUCCACCCUCUCUCUAGACAAGAUCCUGGCGACCUUCUCCUCAGACAAGCACUCCAGCUGCUUUAGACCUCCUUCUGUUGCAAGCAGCAGCAAAAGCGGGUCUUCUUCCAGGAAAGCUGGGAAGUGUCGCAGUGAUAAAAAAUCCACACAUUUGGAUGCUGCGCUCAGUGACAUCCAGCAGGUCAGAGAAACCCAAAAGAACCUCGAUAAAUCCCUGCAAACCUUGAAGACGGAGUACGAGCGGGACCACAACGACAUGCUGCGUGUGAUGGAGGAAGAAAUGUCAAGAAUUUUGACUUUAACAUCCGAAUACUGGCUACUGUUUUCGUCACAAUUCAGAGUUCUGACUUGUUUGGUGAUGCGGUGUUUUGGGUUGGCAGACUGAAUGUUUUGGAGCGGGAACUCGCUUACCUGACUGAGCUUCAUCAGAGGGAAACGUCGAACUUGAAAGAGGAGAUAAACAGCAUAAAGGAUAUCAUUGACUUUCAGUAUAACAACAAAGCGGAGGAGUUUUCUGUGGCGCUGGACAAAUGCCAGAGCCAUCUCCUGAAGAUGGAGCUGCAGCAGCAAGAGAUGGAUCUUGUGAGACACGAAGACAGCAUAGCACAGAUUACCAUCGCGAAACUAAUCAAAGGGCUGCUUGUUGUCAUGUCGACCCUCUUGGUGUUUGUGUGCACACUGAACCGAGUCGUCUUGAUUUUCAAGUCAUCCAAGCACAUCCUCUCUGUUGUGCUCCUGGCUGUCUUCCUCUUCCUCUUGUUUAAGUACUGGGACAUUGAUAGCUGACUGGAGUCCAAGAAGAUGCAAAAAAUAAACCUUUUUGAAAACCA
RNA transcript from Poecilia reticulata (guppy), 1252 nucleotides. It is a transcript of the gene named transmembrane and coiled-coil domains protein 1-like, with no coding region annotated. NCBI's taxonomy places the organism in Eukaryota, Metazoa, Chordata, Actinopteri, Cyprinodontiformes, Poeciliidae. The record is from RefSeq and is a predicted model, not a curated record.